GAUGAACGCUGGCGGCGUGCCUAAUACAUGCAAGUCGAGCGAACAGACGAGGAGCUUGCUCCUCUGACGUUAGCGGCGGACGGGUGAGUAACACGUGGAUAACCUACCUAUAAGACUGGGAUAACUUCUGGAAACCGGAGCUAAUACCGGAUAAUAUAUUGAACCGCAUGGUUCAAUAGUGAAAGACGGUUUUGCUGUCACUUAUAGAUGGAUCCGCGCCGCAUUAGCUAGUUGGUAAGGUAACGGCUUACCAAGGCGACGAUGCGUAGCCGACCUGAGAGGGUGAUCGGCCACACUGGAAAUGAGACACGGUCCAGACUCCUACGGGAGGCAGCAGUAGGGAAUCUUCCGCAAUGGGCGAAAGCCUGACGGAGCAACGCCGCGUGAGUGAUGAAGGUCUUCGGAUCGUAAAACUCUGUUAUUAGGGAAGAACAAAUGUGUAAGUAACUAUGCACGUCUUGACGGUACCUAAUCAGAAAGCCACGGCUAACUACGUG
RNAcentral lists this ribosomal RNA (497 nucleotides) under uncultured bacterium. RNAcentral describes it as "partial 16S ribosomal RNA". It matches the Rfam family "Bacterial small subunit ribosomal RNA", at positions 28 to 507 of the family's 1533-position model. The record is from RNAcentral.